This 289-nucleotide ribosomal RNA is filed under the name Heterosigma akashiwo. RNAcentral's name for it is "partial Bacterial small subunit ribosomal RNA". It matches the Rfam family "Bacterial small subunit ribosomal RNA", at positions 1 to 322 of the family's 1533-position model. The record is from RNAcentral. Lineage: Eukaryota; Raphidophyceae; Chattonellales; Chattonellaceae.
UUGAGAGUUUGAUCCUGGCUCAGAACGAACGCUGGCGGCAGGCCUAACACAUGCAAGUCGAGCGCACUCUUCGGAGUGAGCGGCGGACGGGUUAGUAACGCGUGGGAAUGUACCCUUUUCUACGGAAUAGUCUCGGGAAACUGGGGUUAAUACCGUAUACGCCCUUCGGGGGAAAGAUUUAUCGGAGAAGGAUCGGCCCGCGUUAGAUUAGAUAGUUGGUGGGGUAAUGGCCUACCAAGUCUACGAUCUUUAGCUGGUUUUAGAGGAUGAUCAGCAACACUGGGAAUGA